GACGAACGCUGGCGGCGUGCUUAACACAUGCAAGUCGAACGGUGAAGCGCUUGCCUUUUUGGUGGGUGUGGAUGAGUGGCGAACGGGUGAGUAACACGUGAGUAACCUGCCCUCUUCUUCUGGAUUACCUCAUUAAAGUGGGGCUAAUACGGGGUAUUCCGGGUCUGUCGCAUGGCGGGUUUGGGAAAGAUUGCGCCUUUGGGUGUUUUCGGUGGGGGAUGGGCUCGCGCCUUUUCGCUUGGUGGUGUGGUGGUGGCCUCCCCAGGCGGUGGCGGGUCGCCGGCCUGAGAGGGUGGACGGCCACACUGGGACUGGGACACGGCCCAGACUCCUGCGGGAGGCAGCAGUGGGGAAUAGUGCACAAUGGGCGCAAGCCUGAUGCAGCGACGCCGCGUGAGGGAUGGAGGCCUUCGGGUUGUGAACCUCUUUCGCCAGUGAAGCAGGCCUGCUCCUGUGUGGGUGGGUUGACGGUAGCUGGAUAAGAAGCGCCGGCUAACUACGUG
RNAcentral lists this ribosomal RNA (503 nucleotides) under uncultured bacterium. RNAcentral describes it as "partial 16S ribosomal RNA". It matches the Rfam family "Bacterial small subunit ribosomal RNA", at positions 28 to 507 of the family's 1533-position model. The record is from RNAcentral.